CACGUGAGCAACUUGGCUCUAAGAGGGGGACAACAGUUGGAAACGACUGCUAAUACCGCAUAACGUAUCGGGAUGGCAUCUUCCUGAUACCAAAGAUUUUAUCGCUUAGAGAUGGGCUCGCGUCUGAUUAGAUAGUUGGCGGGGUAACGGCCCACCAAGUCGACGAUCAGUAGCCGGACUGAGAGGUUGAACGGCCACAUUGGGACUGAGACACGGCCCAGACUCCUACGGGAGGCAGCAGUGGGGGAUAUUGGACAAUGGGGGCAACCCUGAUCCAGCGACGCCGCGUGAGGGAAGAAGGUUUUCGGAUUGUAAACCUCUGUUGACGGAGAAAAAAAUGAUGGUAUCCGUUUAGAAAGCCACGGCUAACUACGUGCCAGCAGCCGCGGUAAUACGUAGGUGGCAAGCGUUGUCCGGAAUUACUGGGUGUAAAGGGAGUGUAGGCGGGAUAUCAAGUCAGAAGUGAAAAUUACGGGCUCAACUCGUAACCUGCUUUUGAAACUGACAUUCUUGAGUGAAGUAGAGGCAAGCGGAAUUCCUAGUGUAGCGGUGAAAUGCGUAGAUAUUAGGAGGAACACCAGUGGCGAAGGCGGCUUGCUGGGCUUUUACUGACGCUGAGGCUCGAAAGCGUGGGGAGC
This 638-nucleotide ribosomal RNA is filed under the name uncultured bacterium. RNAcentral describes it as "bacterial SSU rRNA". It matches the Rfam family "Bacterial small subunit ribosomal RNA", at positions 114 to 769 of the family's 1533-position model. The record is from RNAcentral.